CGGGAACCGGAGACAGGUGCUGCAUGGCUGUCGUCAGCUCGUGUCGUGAGAUGUUGGGUUAAGUCCCGCAACGAGCGCAACCCUUAUCUUUAAUUGCCAGCAUUCAGUUGGGCACUUUAAAGAGACUGCCGGUGUUAAACCGGAGGAAGGUGGGGAUGACGUCAAGUCCUUAUGGCCUUUAUGCUUAGGGCUACACACGUGCUACAAUGGGUGGUACAAAGAGAAGCCAACUCGCGAGAGCGCGCCAAUCUCAAAAGCCAUCCUCAGUUCGGAUUGGAGUCUGCAACUCGACUGCGUGAAGUCGGAAUCGCUAGUAAUCGUGGAUCAGCAUGUCACGGUGAAUACGUUCCCGGGUCUU
RNAcentral lists this ribosomal RNA (358 nucleotides) under uncultured Smithella sp. RNAcentral's name for it is "bacterial SSU rRNA". It matches the Rfam family "Bacterial small subunit ribosomal RNA", at positions 1022 to 1382 of the family's 1533-position model. The record is from RNAcentral. Lineage: Bacteria; Pseudomonadati; Thermodesulfobacteriota; Syntrophia; Syntrophales; Smithellaceae.